This 1467-nucleotide long non-coding RNA is filed under the name Phaseolus vulgaris (common bean). RNAcentral describes it as "long non-coding RNA (PVUL_LNC001072)". Lineage: Eukaryota; Viridiplantae; Streptophyta; Magnoliopsida; Fabales; Fabaceae. The record is from RNAcentral.
CCAUAUAAUUUAAUUUGUAAAAUUUAAUAAUUUAACUACAAAUUAAUUAUUCAAACCCACAAAUUGUAACACCCCGGAAAAUACAUCUAACUAUUACAAUACAGGUUCUACUUAUUUCUAUACAAGCAUAAAGUUUUUCAAAACAUUCCUAAUACAUGAUUAUGACAUAUAGAAAUACAAAUAUUUACAAUAUAAGUUUCAUAAUCAACGCCCUAAAACUCUUCUGAUCCUCAGACACCUGUAAGAUCAUCUGCUCGUGUACGUAGUACAGUCAUCGCAGUUCAAACACAACAAGAAAAGCAAGGGUAAGCUAGUGAAAAUAGAAUUUUAUAAUAUACACAAUUAAAUCAAAAGAGAAAACCAAGUUACACGAUCAAUUUCUCAAAUUAUUUAAUCUUCUUCAAAUCUCAACAAUAAAACAAUCACAUAGAUCUCACAUGGAUCUACACAUCCAGAAUAUUCAACAAACAACAUCUUCCGGAAGACCCGUAUUAAGUAAGUCCUACCAGAGACUAACACCUGAUCCAAAGAUUACCAGCGAAUCCAACAGAAAGGAUCAGGAUAAGUUCAAUACAACCCAAGCUGUGCAUGUCAUAUGUCACGGUGUGCAUGAACUCCCCCAUCAGCUUCUCACCACCUGAUAUCUUAGUCUAUGUGACUUAGAUCAUUAGUGAAGCUCGGAGAUCUCUGUUACCACAUAGGCAUCAAUACUUAAUACACAACAAACAUCAGUCCAUACAUUAUCCCAAAUGUAUGAAUUCAAUUCCAUACCAUCCCGUCAUACAAUAUCAUCCCAAACACGAUCCACAACAUUCAAAAACGUAAUUAACAUAAAAAAAAACAACACUUAAAUAUUAAACCAUCAAAAUAUAAUAUUUUUACAAAUUUAAAUAAUAUAUAAACAAACAACCCAAUAUAUAUAACACACAACAUCCCUGCAAGAAGAAUUGAAUAUUGGGACCACGUCCCUUCCGCAUUCAGAUCUUCUAUCCUAGGGUGCUAUUAAAAAUUAAAUUAAGCUUCCCUUACCUCAAUUGCUUGCUUUCCAAGCAAAUUUUAGAAUUUUAUUCCCCACCGUUUGGAUAAGCUUCAAGAUUUACGGGCCUAAUGCAAAUUAUCCAAACAGAACAAAAUUUCAGUAUAUAAUAUAAUAAGUUGAGAGGAUUAAACUUCUCAACUGACCCCACCAAGAUUGAUGACUAAAUCCUAAGGAAAAACAGAGAACAAAGGAUAUUUAGAGUAAAAAUGAACUUACUCUGUUUGAAAAUCUGAUCGGGUAGAAAUGUUCCUUAACUCCUCAGCUACAGCGUGGUAUGAUCAGAUUCUAAAAUAGAUGAAGAUUGGGAGAGAAAACUAAGAGAGAGAGAAAAGAAUAUGAAAAGAGAGAAAUGGAGAUAAGGAAGAAAAAGAAGAAGAAAGAAUUUGUGCGGGGGCUCUGUAUUUUUUUUUAACGCUGUUACACAAAUU